AGUGAAGCGGGAUGAGCUCAAAUUUAAAAUCUGGCUGGUUUACUAGUCCGAAUUGUAGUUUAUAGAAGCGUUUUCGGUGGCAGCCUGGGUAUAAAUCCUUUGGAAUAGGGUAUCAUAGAGGGUGAGAAUCCCGUCUUUGACUCAGUGCAUGCUACUAUGUGAUACGUUUUCAAAGAGUCGAGUUGUUUGGGAAUGCAGCUCAAAAUGGGUGGUAAAUUUCAUCUAAAGCUAAAUAUUGGCGAGAGACCGAUAGCGAACAAGUACCGUGAGGGAAAGAUGAAAAGAACUUUGAAAAGAGAGUUAAACAGUGCGUGAAAUUGUUGAAAGGGAAACGUUUGACACCAGUUAUGCGGGUGGAAAAUCAGUCUUUUGCAAUGGGGAGUUGUGGGCGUUCAGACCGCAAGGCUGGCGUUUGCUUCAUCUUUGUUGUAAGUGAUGCACUUUUUCAUUUGCAGGUCAACAUCAGUUUGCUUUGCUGGACAAAACCCCAAGGGAAGGUGGCAGCUUAGGCUGUGUUAUAGCCCUGGGGCGAUACAGUGGAGUGGACUGAGGUUUCGCAGUGUGUGCUCUCGGGCAAGGCUGACUGGGUGCUAUGGGAUCGUUCGGCGUACAAUGCAUGCAUUUUGCGUCGUGUCUUUUUCAUACUCGCUCAACUCGGCUCUUCCACACUUAGGAUGUUGACUUAAUGGUUUUAAACGACCCGUCUUGAAACACGGACCAAGGAGUCUAACAUAUAUGCAAGUGUUUGGGUGGCAAACCCAUGCGCGUAAUGAAAGUGAACGUAGGUGCGAUCCGCAAGGUGCAGCAUCGACCGAUCUUGAUAUUUUUGGAUAGAUUUGAGUAAGAGCAUAUAUGCUGGGACCCGAAAGAUGGUGAACUAUGCCUGAAUAGGGUGAAGCCAGAGGAAACUCUGGUGGAGGCUCGUAGCGAUUCUGACGUGCAAAUCGAUCGUCAAAUUUGGGUAUAGGGGCGAAAGACUAAUCGAAACCAUCUAGUUAGCUGG
This 1003-nucleotide ribosomal RNA is filed under the name Linnemannia elongata. RNAcentral describes it as "eukaryotic LSU rRNA". It matches the Rfam family "Eukaryotic large subunit ribosomal RNA", at positions 92 to 954 of the family's 3401-position model. The record is from RNAcentral. Lineage: Eukaryota; Fungi; Mortierellomycota; Mortierellomycetes; Mortierellales; Mortierellaceae.